RNAcentral lists this ribosomal RNA (215 nucleotides) under uncultured Chlamydiales CRG13. RNAcentral describes it as "partial 16S ribosomal RNA". It matches the Rfam family "Bacterial small subunit ribosomal RNA", at positions 66 to 273 of the family's 1533-position model. The record is from RNAcentral. Lineage: Bacteria; Pseudomonadati; Chlamydiota; Chlamydiia; Chlamydiales.
ACGGUAUAGGGGCAACUCUAUAUAGUGGCGCAAGGGUUAGUAAUACAUAGAUAAUCUACCUCCGACCUGGGAAUAACGGCUGGAAACGGCCGCUAAUACCGAAUGAGGUGGUGCAAGGCAUCUUGCACUUAUCAAUGAGGGGGAUCGAAAGACCUUUUUGUUGGAGAAGAGUCUAUGGGAUAUCAGCUAGUUGGUGAGGUAAGAGCUCACCAAGG